RNAcentral lists this ribosomal RNA (506 nucleotides) under uncultured bacterium. RNAcentral's name for it is "partial 16S ribosomal RNA". It matches the Rfam family "Bacterial small subunit ribosomal RNA", at positions 29 to 523 of the family's 1533-position model. The record is from RNAcentral.
AGUGAACGCUGGCGGUAGGCCUAACACAUGCAAGUCGAACGGCAGCACAGGAGAGCUUGCUCUCUGGGUGGCGAGCGGCGGACGGGUGAGGAAUACAUCGGAAUCUACUCUGUCGUGGGGGAUAACGUAGGGAAACUUACGCUAAUACCGCAUACGACCUACGGGUGAAGGCAGGGGACCUUCGGGCCUUACGCGAUUGAAUGAGCCGAUGUCGGAUUAGCUAGUUGGCGGGGUAAAGGCCCACCAAGGAGACGAUCCGUAGCUGGUCUGAGAGGAUGAUCAGCCACACUGGAACUGAGACACGGUCCAGACUCCUACGGGAGGCAGCAGUGGGGAAUAUUGGACAAUGGGCGCAAGCCUGAUCAAGCCAUACCGCGUGGGUGAAGAAGGCCUUCGGGUUGUAAAGCCCUUUUGUUGGGAAAGAAAUCCAGCUGGCUAAUACCCGGUUGGGAUGACGGUACCCAAAGAAUAAGCACCGGCUAACUUCGUGCCAGCCGCCGCCGUAA